GGGCCGAAGAAGCCCUGGAGGGGGAGAGGGGAGCCGCUCUCGACUGGGCUUGCGGCGUGGGAGGGACAGUGAGGGACACUUAGGGACUGUGUGGGGCAGUGAAGGAUAGUGUGGGAUGAUGAGGGACCGUGUGGACCGGUGAGCGACUGUGUGGGACAGUGCGGGACGAUGAGAGACGGUGUGGGACGGUGAGGGACAGUGCGGGACGAUGAGGGACAGUGAGGGACUGUGUAGGACAGUGAGGGACAGUGUGGGACGGUGAGGGACUGUGGGACAGUGAGGGACUUUGGGACUGUGAGGGACUCGGACAGUGAAGGAUGGCAAGGGACAGUGUGGGACAGUAUGGGACAGUGGACAGUGAGGCACUGUGAGGGGCGGUGAGGGACAAUGAAGGAUGUCAAGGGACAGUGUGGGACAGUGGACGGUGAGGUACUGUGAGGGGCGGUGAGGGACAGUGUGGGACUGUGAGGGAUGGCGAGGGACAGAGUAGGACAGCAAGGGAGGAUGAGGGGACAGAGUGGGCCGGCGUGGGGCGGUGAGGCUACGCGGGGGGAACCCAGGGCUCCUCUGACUGCGUUGGAAUAUGGAGGAAAGGUCCUGCUCGAGGUUGAGCCCUUCAGGGUCGCUGUGGGUUUCCAGGAGGAGCUCCCUCACUACUGACUUAGGGGGCCCUCGGCUUCCCAGUGUAAGAAGAAGCUGUCUUUGGAGUGAGAACAAGGGUGAGGUUCUGGCUCAGAAACCUUAGAAUCACAGACACUGUUUUCCUGAAAACAUUGCUUCUUUCUCUCAUCUCAAAGAAAUGCCACAAGUCGUGUGUUUCCCCACUGCGAGCCCUUCGAGAACAAUGUCAUGUUGAUCGAUGGCAGUGACUCACACCAGAUCUUUCCAUGCCUCCUCUGCAAGGACUCAAGAGAGUCGAGAGCAAAACCGUGCCAUAGUUCCAUAAGGAGGGCAAAGAGCUUUAUCCACGCUGAGGAACAGGCGGAUCAUGCGGCUACAGCACUGGUCUUUACCUUUUAACUGCUUGAUUCGAAACAUUCCAGCCAGGAACAGUGGCUCACACCUGUAAUCCCAGCACUUUGUGGGGCCAAGGCAGGUGGAUUGCUCGAGCUCAGGAGUUCGAAACCAGCCUGGGCAACCUGGCAAAACCUCAUCUCUACAAAAAAAUACAAAAAUUAGCCAGGCCUGGUGUGUGUGCCUGUGGUUCCAGCCACUCGGCAGGCUGCGGCCAGAGGAUCACUUGAGCCCAGGAAGUGGAGGCUGCAGUGAGCUGAGAUCGUGCCGCCACACUCCAGCCUGGGUGACAGAGCCAGACAUUGUCUCUAAAAAAAAAAAAAAAAGAAAAGAAAAGAAAGAAAAAAGAGAAAUAGUCCAAGACUAGGGAGAAAACCUUCUUUGGGGUCAGUGUGAACCAUUCUUUCAUUUGUUCAGCAAAUGCUUACUGAGGAGCUACUGUGUCCCUGAAAUUGCCUCCACCUCCAAGAAGACAGUGGUGAGCAAGUCAGACAAUACCUCUAAUCUCAUGGUAUUUAUAAGUAAAUGGGCCGUUAAAAUUACCAGAUCAGAAGUGCUGUGUUCAGCAAAUAGAGGCUCAUGGGAAACUCCUAAGAAGGGCUUCUGAGCUGGACUUGGGGGUCAGGAAAGGCAGAAUGAGGGGGCUGACUCAUCCAGACUGGGGCGGGGUUGCCGGGGGUGCCUCCCACUUACUAUCUGUCUCCUUCUAGACUGACUUCUCUGUCAUCAUGAAUACACCCCUUUAAGACAUACAUUUAAGAGAAAAUAAGAGGAUGCCUUAUUUAUUUAAAGGUUUGUUACAGUUUUACUAACAACCACAUACCUAAAGGAAAGUCGCAAGUAGAGCUCAAAAACUUUUUUCUCUGGGGCAGUGAAGAGUCAGUUGCCAGCCAGAAGGCCCACUGAGCCUGAGCACUUCAGGGUGUGCUUCCUACAGAUAAGGACAUCCUCCUGCAUAACAGGAAAGGGGUCCUGAUCCAGACCCCAAGAGAGGGUUCUUGGAUCUCGCACAAGAAAGAAUUCCGGGUGAG
This 2045-nucleotide long non-coding RNA is filed under the name Homo sapiens (human). RNAcentral's name for it is "non-protein coding LINC01714:24". The record is from RNAcentral. Lineage: Eukaryota; Metazoa; Chordata; Mammalia; Primates; Hominidae.